GACGAACGCUGGCGGCGUGCUUAACACAUGCAAGUCGAACGAUGAAGCCGGAGCUUGCUCUGGUGAAUUAGUGGCGAACGGGUGAAUAACACGUGAGUAACCUGCCCUUGACUCUGGGAUAACUGCGGGAAACUGUAGCUAAUACCGGAUACGACCCUCGGAGGCAUCUCCUGGGGGUGGAAAGAAUUUCGGUCAAGGAUGGACUCGCGGCCUAUCAGCUAGUUGGUGAGGUAAAGGCUCACCAAGGCGACGACGGAUAGCCGGCCUGAGAGGGUGACCGGCCACACUGGGACUGAGACACGGCCCAGACUCCUACGGGAGGCAGCAGUGGGGAAUAUUGCACAAUGGGCGCAAGCCUGAUGCAGCAACGCCGCGUGAGGGAUGACGGCCUUCGGGUUGUAAACCUCUUUUAGCAGGGAAGAAGCGAAAGUGACGGUACCUGCAGAAAAAGCACCGGCUAACUACGUGCCAGCAGCCGCAGUAA
This 484-nucleotide ribosomal RNA is filed under the name uncultured bacterium. RNAcentral's name for it is "partial 16S ribosomal RNA". It matches the Rfam family "Bacterial small subunit ribosomal RNA", at positions 28 to 523 of the family's 1533-position model. The record is from RNAcentral.